RNAcentral lists this ribosomal RNA (253 nucleotides) under uncultured bacterium. Its description in RNAcentral is "partial 16S ribosomal RNA". It matches the Rfam family "Bacterial small subunit ribosomal RNA", at positions 524 to 776 of the family's 1533-position model. The record is from RNAcentral.
UACGUAGGGUGCAAGCGUUGUCCGGAAUUAUUGGGCGUAAAGAGCUCGUAGGCGGUCUGUCGCGUCUGCUGUGAAAACUCGGGGCUUAACCCCGGGCCUGCAGUGGGUACGGGCAGACUAGAGUGCGGUAGGGGAGACUGGAAUUCCUGGUGUGGCGGUGAAAUGCGCAGAUAUCAGGAGGAACACCGGUGGCGAAGGCGGGUCUCUGGGCCGUAACUGACGCUGAGGAGCGAAAGCAUGGGGAGCGAACAGG